Molecule: transfer RNA, 74 nt
Filed under: Arsenophonus endosymbiont of Tetraleurodes acaciae
Lineage: Bacteria; Pseudomonadati; Pseudomonadota; Gammaproteobacteria; Enterobacterales; Morganellaceae
Also listed under: 1 other name
Description: tRNA-Ile
Rfam family: tRNA
About the family: Transfer RNA (tRNA) molecules are approximately 80 nucleotides in length. Their secondary structure includes four short double-helical elements and three loops (D, anti-codon, and T loops).
Source: RNAcentral
AGGCUUGUAGCUCAGGUGGUCAGAGCGCACCCCUGAUAAGGGUGAGGUCGGUGGUUCAAGUCCACUCAGGCCUA